AUACGGAGGAUCCGAGCGUUAUCCGGAUUUAUUGGGUUUAAAGGGAGCGUAGGCGGACGCUUAAGUCAGUUGUGAAAGUUUGCGGCUCAACCGUAAAAUUGCAGUUGAUACUGGGUGUCUUGAGUACAGUAGAGGCAGGCGGAAUUCGUGGUGUAGCGGUGAAAUGCUUAGAUAUCACGAAGAACUCCGAUUGCGAAGGCAGCCUGCUGGACUGUAACUGACGCUGAUGCUCGAAAGUGUGGGUAUCAAACAGGAUUAGAUUCCCUGGUAGUCCACACAGUAAACGAUGAAUACUCGCUGUUUGCGAUAUACAGUAAGCGGCCAAGCGAAAGCGUUAAGUAUUCCACCUGGGGAGUACGCCGGCAACGGUGAAACUCAAAUGAAUUGACGGGG
Molecule: ribosomal RNA, 393 nt
Filed under: uncultured bacterium
Lineage: Bacteria
Description: partial 16S ribosomal RNA
Rfam family: Bacterial small subunit ribosomal RNA
Source: RNAcentral